AAUAGAUACCCGGGUAGUCCAUGCCGUAAACGAUGUCUACUAGCCGUUGGGGCCUUUGAGGCUUUAGUGGCGCAGCUAACGCGAUAAGUAGACCGCCUGGGGAGUACGGUCGCAAGACUAAAACUCAAAUGAAUUGACGGGGGCCCGCACAAGCGGUGGAGCAUGUGGUUUAAUUCGAUGCAACGCGAAGAACCUUACCUGGUCUUGACAUAGUAAGAACUUUCCAGAGAUGGAUUGGUGCCUUCGGGAACUUACAUACAGGUGCUGCAUGGCUGUCGUCAGCUCGUGUCGUGAGAUGUUGGGUUAAGUCCCGCAACGAGCGCAACCCUUUUCCUUAUUUGCCAGCGGGUUAAGCCGGGAACUUUAAGGAUACUGCCAGUGACAAACUGGAGGAAGGCGGGGACGACGUCAAGUCAUCAUGGCCCUUACGACCAGGGCUACACACGUGCUACAAUGGUCGGUACAAAGGGUUGCUACCUAGCGAUAGGAUGCUAAUCUCAAAAACGCCGAUCGUAGUCCGGAUUGGAGUCUGCAACUCGACUCC
RNAcentral lists this ribosomal RNA (544 nucleotides) under uncultured bacterium. Its description in RNAcentral is "bacterial SSU rRNA". It matches the Rfam family "Bacterial small subunit ribosomal RNA", at positions 777 to 1319 of the family's 1533-position model. The record is from RNAcentral.